This 768-nucleotide long non-coding RNA is filed under the name Homo sapiens (human). RNAcentral describes it as "family with sequence similarity 95 member B1". Lineage: Eukaryota; Metazoa; Chordata; Mammalia; Primates; Hominidae. The record is from RNAcentral.
CCACCAUCUUGGAGCUCAGUGCCCUCAUAGUGUAACAGCACCAGCAGAUCUGCCUGUGCACAGACUUCCUGUACUACCUCACUCCUGAGGGGAGAUGCUUCUGCAGGGCCUGCGACCUGGUGCACAACUUUAGACACCAUCAUCCUGGAGCGGCACUGCACCCUCACUAGCCAGGGUGUUGAUGACUUCCUCAAUGCCAAGGCCACGUUCAAGAUUUUCGACUUCAGUGAUGCGUUUGUGCUGAGCAAGCCAAGAGACCCAAGCCUGCCUUGCUGCCACUUAGGAUAUGACAGCACAGCCAGUGGCCUCUACUGGAUCCUGGUACCCCUCAGAAGACACCCAGACACUGGGAGUGCUGCCACCUCGUGGUGCAAGAGUUCUGAGGGACGGCAAUUCUGAAGACAUUGAAUGUUGUUAUAUGAAAAAACUGAGGCAAAGAGCAAUACAGAGAGUUGCAAAAAUUCAUACCGCUGGUCCAGGUUUGAACCAAACAGUCUGCACCUGGAGUCCUUGUUUGUAACCAUGGCACCCUGUCUUCACACAUAUCUCAUCGUGGAGUUCCAUCUUGUGUUAGCCGUUUUGCACACCCUGGUCAGAAUGAAACAUUCCUUGGGAACUCGGGCCGUGAGAAGCAUCCUUCCUGAUCACCUGACUGUAGAAACAUCCUUAUCGCACCCUCCCGGGCAAAGGCCCAACAGCCUGACUGCAGGAACAUCCUUGCCAUAUCCUGCCGGGCAGCAAGCUCUACCGCCCACACCCCUCCUUCCC